CUUGUACACACCGCCUGUCACACCAUGGGAGCGGGAUGUACCAGAAGUAGGUAGGCUAACCGCAAGGGGGCCGCUUACCACGGUGCGUUUCGUGACUGGGGUG
RNAcentral lists this ribosomal RNA (103 nucleotides) under uncultured bacterium. RNAcentral describes it as "partial 16S ribosomal RNA". It matches the Rfam family "Bacterial small subunit ribosomal RNA", at positions 1380 to 1482 of the family's 1533-position model. The record is from RNAcentral.